UCCUACGGGAGGCAGCAGUGGGGAAUAUUGGACAAUGGGCGCAAGCCUGAUCCAGCCAUGCCGCGUGAGUGAUGAAGGCCCUAGGGUUGUAAAGCUCUUUCCGCGAGGAGGAUAAUGACGUUACUCGCAGAAGAAGCCCCGGCUAACUUCGUGCCAGCAGCCGCGGUAAUACGAAGGGGGCUAGCGUUGUUCGUCUUCACUGGGCCUAAAACGCACUUACGCGGACUUUUAAAUACGGGGUGAAAUACCAGGGUCUCACCCCAGGACCUGCCAUUUAAUACUGGAUACUCUAUGAAUCCCA
This 301-nucleotide ribosomal RNA is filed under the name bacterium A6T_VP8_D7. RNAcentral's name for it is "bacterial SSU rRNA". It matches the Rfam family "Bacterial small subunit ribosomal RNA", at positions 337 to 652 of the family's 1533-position model. The record is from RNAcentral.